UACGUAGGGGGCAAGCGUUGUCCGGAUUUAUUGGGCGUAAAGAGCGUGUAGGCGGUCAGGUAGGUCGGUUGUGAAAACUGGAGGCUCAACCUUCAGAGGUCGACCGAAACCCCCUGGCUAGAGUCCGGGAGAGGAGAGUGGAAUUCCUGGUUAGCGGUGAAAUGCGCAGAUAUCAGGAAGAACACCCGUGGCGAAAGCGGCUCUCUGGAACGGUACUGACGCUGAGACGCGAAAGCGUGGGGAGCGAACAGG
This 252-nucleotide ribosomal RNA is filed under the name uncultured bacterium. Its description in RNAcentral is "partial 16S ribosomal RNA". It matches the Rfam family "Bacterial small subunit ribosomal RNA", at positions 524 to 776 of the family's 1533-position model. The record is from RNAcentral.